Molecule: ribosomal RNA, 429 nt
Filed under: Chloroflexota bacterium
Lineage: Bacteria; Bacillati; Chloroflexota
Description: Chloroflexi bacterium partial 16S ribosomal RNA
Rfam family: Bacterial small subunit ribosomal RNA
Source: RNAcentral
UGGGGAAUAUUGCACAAUGGGCGCAAGCCUGAUGCAGCCAUGCCGCGUGUAUGAAGAAGGCCUUCGGGUUGUAAAGUACUUUCAGUCGGGAGGAAGGUGGUAAGGUUAAUAACCUUAUCAAUUGACGUUACCGACAGAAGAAGCACCGGCUAACUCCGUGCCAGCAGCCGCGGUAAUACGGGGGGUGCAAGCGUUAAUCGGAAUUACUGGGCGUAAAGCGCACGCAGGCGGUUGAUUGAGUCAGAUGUGAAAUCCCCGGGCUUAACCCGGGAAUUGCAUCUGAGACUGGUCAGCUAGAGUCUUGUAGAGGGGGGUAGAAUUCCAUGUGUAGCGGUGAAAUGCGUAGAGAUGUGGAGGAAUACCGGUGGCGAAGGCGGCCCCCUGGACAAAGACUGACGCUCAGGUGCGAAAGCGUGGGGAGCAAACAGG